AACCCCCCUCGUCUUUGACGCUUUCUAAAAGAGUUAUUGACGGAUUCUGAGUGUUGGCGUGUCAACGCCUCACUUUAAAUAUAUCAGCACUUUUGGAUGGUUACAUGUUAGUUCAAAAGACGUACUUGAUGUCGUAUUUAUACAAUUCAUCGAGAUGGUCUUUGGUCGUAUCGACUAUCCGCUAAUAUGACGACUUGAAGAAUAGCUUCCUAACCCCAUUGAAUUUACC
This 229-nucleotide unclassified non-coding RNA is filed under the name uncultured Melampsora. RNAcentral describes it as "sequence contains ITS2". The record is from RNAcentral. Lineage: Eukaryota; Fungi; Basidiomycota; Pucciniomycetes; Pucciniales; Melampsoraceae.